Molecule: long non-coding RNA, 434 nt
Organism: Rhinichthys klamathensis goyatoka
Lineage: Eukaryota; Metazoa; Chordata; Actinopteri; Cypriniformes; Leuciscidae
Exons: 2
Source: RefSeq, a predicted model, not a curated record
UAAUGGGCCAGUUGUUCAAAGGUAAGCUGAUCGGAUUUUGGUUAUCGGAUUGGAUUAAAUCUUGAAAAUGGGUUGUUCAAAAGGGAAAGAAGGAAUCUGAAAUCAGAUUAGAUCAGGGAAUCCAAUCCUAGUUUUAAUCUGGAUCAAACCUUCAGUUUGUGUUGUUCAAAACUUGUCAGUGGGAUUUGGAUAACUUUGAUCCAAAAAACAGGAUUAUCCUGAUCCCAACAGGGGGUAGGAUUUCAAGGUGGAUUUCAGGAAGAAAAUGUAGUAAAACUUUAAAAUUGGUCAAAUAAUACAUUUGUAUCAUUUAUGUAUGUACUUUUAUUUAUAUUUUGCACUUGACUUGUGUAACCGUUGUAACAGUGAUAAAGUAGACAUGGGCUAACAAUUAAGCUAUUCAGUAUAGUAAAGUAAAAAUAAAAUAAAAAUUA